GCCUGCAGCUAGCUCUGUGCAACUAUCACAUGGUCACCCAUUGAAGCUAAGCAGGGCUGCGACUGGCCAGUACCUAGAUGGGAAACCCCAUGGGAAAGCUAGGUUGCUGUUGAAA
RNAcentral lists this ribosomal RNA (115 nucleotides) under Danio rerio (zebrafish). Lineage: Eukaryota; Metazoa; Chordata; Actinopteri; Cypriniformes; Danionidae. The record is from RNAcentral.